ACGCACGCUGGCGGCGUGCUUCACCCAUGCAAGUCGAACGGAAAGGCCCUGCUUUUGUGGGGUGCUCGAGUGGCGAACGGGUGAGUAACACGUGAGUAACCUGCCCUUGACUUUGGGAUAACUUCAGGAAACUGGGGCUAAUACCGGAUAGGAGCUCCUGCUGCAUGGUGGGGGUUGGAAAGUUUCGGCGGUUGGGGAUGGACUCGCGGCUUAUCAGCUUGUUGGUGGGGUAGUGGCUUACCAAGGCUUUGACGGGUAGCCGGCCUGAGAGGGUGACCGGCCAAAUUGGGACUGAGAUACGGCCCAGACUCCUACGGGAGGCAGCAGUUGGGAAUAUUGCACAAUGGGCGGAAGCCUGAUGCAGCAACGCCGCGUGCGGGAUGACGGCCUUCGGGUUGUAAACCGCUUUCGCCUGUGACGAAGCGUGAGUGACGGUAAUGGGUAAAGAAGCACCGGCUAACUACGUG
RNAcentral lists this ribosomal RNA (467 nucleotides) under uncultured bacterium. RNAcentral's name for it is "partial 16S ribosomal RNA". It matches the Rfam family "Bacterial small subunit ribosomal RNA", at positions 29 to 507 of the family's 1533-position model. The record is from RNAcentral.